CCCUUAGAUGUUCUGGGCCGCACGCGCGCUACACUGAUGAACGCAACGAGACGACCUGUACCGAAAGGCAUGGGUAAACUUGUGAAAGUUCAUCGUGAUGGGGAUAGAUUAUUGCAAUUAUUAAUCUUCAACGAGGAAUUCCUAGUAAGCGCGAGUCAUCAGCUCGCGUUGAUUACGUCCCUGCCCUUUGUACACACCGCCCGUCGCUCCUACCGAUUGAAUGGUCCGGUGAAAUCUUCGGAUUGCUGGAUAGGAGGGCAACCACCUAUCUGCGAGAAGUUGCUUGAACCUUAUCAUUUAGAGGAAGGAGAANUCGUANCA
Molecule: ribosomal RNA, 321 nt
Filed under: uncultured eukaryote
Lineage: Eukaryota
Description: partial 18S ribosomal RNA
Rfam family: Eukaryotic small subunit ribosomal RNA
Source: RNAcentral